GAACCAUGUUCGAGAUGUCCAUGUACAUGAAGAUCCUCUUUACCCCAAGUACGAGCAUGCGAUCCGCCAGACAAGUGACCAGAGUAAAUGGCUUCAAGCAGCAACUCCAACUUUCUCCAAGUUGGAGAAGUUGCUGACCAACAAAAGGGCGCUGAAGGAUGUUGCAAAACUGAGCCCCCACCACCAAACUUCAUCUUUGGAGGCUUUCCAUGCGGUUAUUCUUUGUUUUGCCCCAAAAAAUGUUGUCUUUCCCUUUAUUGGAAUGCUGUGCAGCAUUAACAUGUUUUUGUCUUGACAACCCGGAUACUGCGUCCCAGGAGGCCCCAGCACCAGCUCACAAAGGAACGAUAGGAGAGAUACCUGUAGCGACUGAACAAUUGAUUCAGAGAUUAAGUCUUGCAGAGAUUUAUCAUUGCUUUGUGUUUAUGAAAUAAAUAUUACUAUGCUCCUA
Molecule: long non-coding RNA, 451 nt
Organism: Gadus morhua (Atlantic cod)
Lineage: Eukaryota; Metazoa; Chordata; Actinopteri; Gadiformes; Gadidae
Exons: 2
Source: RefSeq, a predicted model, not a curated record